GGAUAUAAGGUAGGUCUGGCUGUGCCAUCUGUCACCCCGACUGAUGUCCAGGGUCGAUUCAGUGGACCUGUGUGUUGAGUCAGGUGUUUCCUUCUUCCCUCUCUGCUCCCUGUACCUGACUCCUGAAACUUUGGCUGAGUGUAUUGUAACCGCACUGCCCUGCUAGAAUCUCCAGGCAGGCUCGGAACCAGAGAAGCACGGUGGUGGGGGACAAUUCAGGGACUGAAAUUCGCAAGUGUGAGUUUGUGACUUCCACCCUUAAC
This 263-nucleotide small nuclear RNA is filed under the name Sorex araneus (European shrew). RNAcentral describes it as "7SK RNA (ENSSARG00000018989.1)". It matches the Rfam family "7SK RNA". Rfam says of the family: 7SK was discovered as an abundant small nuclear RNA in the mid-70s but a possible function has only recently been suggested. Two independent studies have found that 7SK RNA binds the CDK9/cyclin T complex (known as elongation factor P-TEFb). P-TEFb activates transcription by phosphorylating the C-terminal domain of RNA polymerase II. The record is from RNAcentral. Lineage: Eukaryota; Metazoa; Chordata; Mammalia; Eulipotyphla; Soricidae.